This 531-nucleotide long non-coding RNA is filed under the name Homo sapiens (human). RNAcentral describes it as "HSALNT0404785". The record is from RNAcentral. Lineage: Eukaryota; Metazoa; Chordata; Mammalia; Primates; Hominidae.
CACCGGCUCCUGGUACACCUUUGCAGAGGUGGCUGGUUGCUCUUUGAGCCAGCUUGUCCUUGCCCGGCAUGCACAAGUUUCAGUGCAACAACUUUGCCACAAAUGGAGCCAUAUAGAGGAAAGAAAAAGCAGGUUCAGGAGAAGGGUGUACCCUGCCUUUGGGGCUCCAGUCCAUGCCUCAGGUGUCACAUGGCACUGCAGGCUUCUUGGUUGCCAAGAGGCAGACCACAGGCCAUCUUGGGGAGGACUUUAUAUUCAAGUGCAGAAAGCAGCCAGGAUUACCAUCCAGGGGGACCUUCUAUAGCCCUGGCCAGACCUUGCAGAGGUGUCUGGUUGCUCUUUGAGCCAGCUUGGCCUCCCUGGCAUGCACAGGCCCCAGGUACUAACACACUGCUCCGAGUGUGCUUGUCCUGCCUUGGCUGCCACCUAAUUCCUGAUGGAGCAGUGGCCUUAGGAAAAGCAGAUGGCACUGUGGCCCACCUUUAGGGUAGAAGUGAUGUACCAUGUCUGGCCAUUAGUUGGUGACUGGUG